UCGGGCCUCGGGGCGCAGCAGUGAGGAAUAUUGGUCAAUGGGCGGGAGCCUGAACCAGCCAAGCCGCGUGAAGGAAGAAGGCGCCAGGCGUCGUAAACUUCUUUUGUCGGGGAACAAAGGGCGCCACGCGUGGCGUUGUGAGUGUACCCGAAGAAAAAGCAUCGGCUAACUCCGUGCCAGCAGCCGCGGUAAUACGGAGGAUGCGAGCGUUAUCCGGAUUUAUUGGGUUUAAAGGGUGCGUAGGCGGUCCGGAAAGUCAGCGGUAAAAGCCCGGGGCUCAACCCCGGCGAGCCGUUGAAACUGUC
Molecule: ribosomal RNA, 305 nt
Filed under: uncultured bacterium
Lineage: Bacteria
Description: bacterial SSU rRNA
Rfam family: Bacterial small subunit ribosomal RNA
Source: RNAcentral